GCAGAACCAAAUUUUUAUUAUUGCAAAAAAUUGUUAAACAGAUUUACAGAAAAUUAUUGCUUUAAAGCAGAAAAUGAGUUUAUUGUUAAAAAAAAUUAUGAAACUGAUUAUUAUUGCAGAAAGUAUUAAAACUAAUUUUUUGUUGGAAAAGUAUUAAACUAUUUUUUGUUGUUAUUGCAGAAAUUUUUUUAUAGGACAAGAUUUAAGAUUUAAUUGCUAAAAAAUGCUUUAAAUAUUCUGAAAAUCAAAACUAAUUGUUGUAAAAUAAAUUAAACAUGCCAAAAACUAGUUAACACAGUAUAAGUUAAUUUGACAUGCUCGUAGUUGAUUUAAUGAAGUCAAUUAGUAAUCCUAAAACAUGGCUUCUAGGUGACAAAUAAAUCAAUUAAUAAAUUCAAGAUUAUAUUUCGUCUAAAUGAUUCAUAUAAACACAUAAUCCACAUAAUUUCCGCCCCUCGCAAGCAGUCUCAUAAUUUUAUUAUUACAUAGUAGAGGUUUAUACAAUAAUAUUACAGACCAAUGAAUAAUAGAAAAAAAAAAGACCAGGAAAAAAAAACUAGGCCGCCCCUCCCCAUAACUUCAAGGCAACACUUCAAACCCCAAGAUGCACCUAUUAAGCACAAACGCAAAACUGGAACCAAUAUAAAGAGAAAGAAACAAUGAAGCAGAGGCACAACAAACACAAGACAGAUAAAACAACAUGGUUACUUUGAUUGGAUUCUAUAGGCAUGUUUUUCUAAAGGUUUCACAAUACCAUAAAGUCACCACAUAAAUAUGAAAAUUACAUCAAUAGAAACUUGCCGAUAAGAAGCAAACAAAUAAUAAUAAGAAGACCUUAAGCAAAGCAAUUCAAAAGACGGAAUCGAAUGCUUCUUCGAAAUUCAGAAGUGUCAAAGAAACUUGAAAAUAUUUUUUAACUUUUUUUAUAGAGAAAUAAAUAUAGCUAGUAGUGAGUAAUAACAAAUGAAAGGUGUUCCAACUUGAAUGAGGGAAGAGUCUUUAUAUAGUGAAAGUAAUGAAGAAUUAAAGGAAGCAAAAAUAUUCAAAAUCAACCAAGGGAAAGUAAAAGAGGAAGAAGGGAUAUUCCCAAAAUCAAAUUAAUAAACCAAACCAAUAAAAGGGGAGGAAAAUAUUCUAAAUCACCAUAAAUUUUUACACACAAUCUAUUAAAACCAGAAAAAGGUAAGAGAGAGCCCACAUGAUUUUCUUUUUGAAUUUUUUUACCAUAAAUAGGCAACAAUGAGGCUGCCAAUUUAUUCAAAAUUUAAAUUGAGCAAAUUAACUAAUACAUAUAUUCUCAAUGACACUCAAAUCAUAUAUUUACCAUAAAUAUUCAAGUACCAAGGCUGUCAUGUAAAGGGAGAAAAUAGCCAAAGUGAAACCACCUACAACCCAUGACUUUAAUUCCAAUAAGGGGACUGAAUCAAUUAACGGAUACAACAAUAACAACUAGUUUGGCAACCAGGUUUAUCAUAUAAAAUACAAAUCAGUCGCACCUGAUAAACUCUUUACAACCAUUGAUCAAUAAGCAAGAAGAAACAAUAACCACAACAUACUCCGUGUAUUCCCACAUAGUGAGGCCUGGGAGGGUAGAGUAUACGCAGAGAGAGGUUAUUUUCGAUAGAUCCUAGCUUAGGACCGCAGUAUAACAGACACAAAACAUAAAUGCAUAUAAACUAGUACAUUAUGCAAAAUAAACUAACACUGCUAGCCAUAAAGCGAUACUACAUUCACAAGAUAAUAUUAAAAACUAUCUAUCCGAAACCAUAGACAUCACGAAUAAGAAAUUUCAGGCACAAAUAAAGAAUGCUCCCCUACUAUUACCGACACACUCUUACCCCCUAACCCUCUAUCCUACUCUGCGUCCUUCACACCUUCUUUGAAAGGGUCAAUAAGCAAGCAUAUAAAUAAAAUCAACAUCUAAUUCAAAAUUAGGGUCGGAAUCA
RNAcentral lists this long non-coding RNA (1946 nucleotides) under Capsicum annuum. Its description in RNAcentral is "long non-coding RNA (CANN_LNC015742)". The record is from RNAcentral. Lineage: Eukaryota; Viridiplantae; Streptophyta; Magnoliopsida; Solanales; Solanaceae.